Molecule: long non-coding RNA, 2222 nt
Organism: Xiphophorus hellerii (green swordtail)
Lineage: Eukaryota; Metazoa; Chordata; Actinopteri; Cyprinodontiformes; Poeciliidae
Exons: 2
Source: RefSeq, a predicted model, not a curated record
GGAAUACAUCACACUUAUGAAUAUUUCAUUACACUGUAUGUUCUUUUCUAAAUCUCCUUCAAAUCUGGCAGCCUUUGUUUGAAUUUUAGAUUUUAAUGCAUACAAAAUAUGAUGAACUCCUCCGUAACAAUGCUGGUGUUUUAUUUAUUCAUUUAUUUUAAAGGACUAUAAUCUACAUACAGUGAGUCUAGCUGGAAGCCUAAACAGUUCUCUUUAUCUUGAUAGAAAGUCUUACAAAAACAUUUUUCUUAAUCUCUGAAUCACUUUCCUCUAUACUGCUUAAGUUUUUAAUUUAAUUAUUUUUGUCAGAGUAUGCAAUAUUCACAUAAAAUAAACAUUUUCCUCCUAUCAUGAAGUGCAUUCCAAUAUUUUCAGUUAUUCACAUAGAUGUCGUCUGCAUUAACGGCAUCAAUGAAACCCACUGCUACUGCUAAACCCCAUGCUGCUGCUAAAAAUAUCAGUGACCUUAUUAAUAUUUAAGACGACCCAUUAUGCACAGUUCAGCAUCUUUAUUUUUGAAACUACACCUCUACUAUGCCACAUGUGCAUAAUUUAUAGAUAAAAACAAAUAUUUUUCUGGACUACUGGUGUUUUUUGAGAUCCAGCAUUUGAUCCAUCAACAGAAACAAGCUGUUAUAACUCCAGUCCUUUUAAGGACAAACUCUGUUGAACAGCUACAUUCUCCUGAUAAGGAGGACUGAAGAGGUUCUUGUUUAUCUCUCAAGUAAAAAAAAAAAGUUAAACUUGAAAGAGAUUUUCCAUCUCAUUUCACAAAUGUUCUAUUAUUUCAUCAUCUCAGCAAUGUUCCACUGACAAACAAUUUGUUUUGAAGUAUGAAGAGCAUGUUAUGCAAUAUAACAAUAGUAGGUCACAAGUUCAGUGAGUCCGUGGCUCCCCUGCUAAAGCUUUGCAAAAGGCCUUAAAAUAAAUUCAUAUGUUAUUUCAGCAACAUAGUCUCACUGUCAAAAAUUUAGUAAGAAAUAUUUUUCUUUUGACUACAUUAAAAAAAAUGCCACAAAAUAACUAGUGCAAAUAUUACAGUUACUUCUAACUGUUGAAAUAAAAUAAUCAUUAUUGAAGUAUUUUUAACAAAUACUUUGCCUUUUUGAAAUUGUCCAGGGGCUCUAAAUUAGUAAUCCAGUACUUCUUGCUGUGACAUCGCAUAGAGGACCAUUUCUCUUAGCCACUCUUCAAAACAAGAAACACACAAGUGGUACUUUGGAGGACCAUAUGUCGUUUCAAGAGGUACAUUUUGGUCUUUGUCAAGCAAGACGUGUUGAUUUUAUAAGUCAUGAAACAGCAACAAUCUACAGUCAGAGAGAAUAAUUAAAACAUUUAAAACAACCACAACUGCGGCUGAAUGAAUACCAAAGUUUUUACUCACAGUGAGAAACUAUACAAACUCUGAAGCUCAGUGUUAGAAAACUGCAGCGGAAACUUCACACAGCAGUUUGAAGGUUUAUUUAUUUAUAGGCUUUUAAUGCAUAAUUGCAAGGAGUGUCAAUAAAUGUAAAGUGUGUUGCAAUUACAGUUUCUACGGGAGAGGAUUAGGGCCACAGAAAAAAAAAGAAAGAAUUCUGAGAUUAAAGUCAGAAAGUCAGAAUUCUGACUUUAAUCUCAGAAUUCUUUUUUUUUUUUUUUUCGGUGGCCCUAAUCCUCUUCCGUACAGUUUCACUUACAUUAUCUGAAAUCAUUUCUGCUGUUGUAAUAGUAAUGAUUCACAGAAGCUGAUUGCGGGCAUGCUCACUAUAAAUAUGUUUUAUGUGGUCGUCUCAAGAUAACAAGAAAAAUGUGUUAUCAUGAGAAAACAAGAGUCAUUAUCUCUUGAUAACGGUAUAUUUGCUUGGGGGAGAAGUGACACAUUUAUGAGCUCACAGGAAAAUACUUCAAUGAGCAGAGCUUCAUUUCUUCCAUUCAGUUUAACAACUGGCUGUCUCCAUGUUUGAAACUAGUUAACCGUUUCUACCUACAGUGAUUUCUCUGGCGGUACAUUUAAGUACAACUAGUGAAUGAACUAAUCCUAUACUAAAUAAUCACUUAAUUUUUAUCAGAAAACUUAACUGCAGCAUUUUUGGUAGCUAUAAUAAAAGACAAAAGCUAAGAUAAAAAUAACUAUACCAAGUACAACUGUAAACACAAUCAAAAUAUUGAAAUGUUUACAAAUCAAAAAGGAAAGGAAGAUUGAUGAGGAUUUAAUGUGCUUAACUUCAGGACCCAAAAAG